Molecule: non-coding RNA, 1306 nt
Organism: Carica papaya (papaya)
Lineage: Eukaryota; Viridiplantae; Streptophyta; Magnoliopsida; Brassicales; Caricaceae
Source: RefSeq, a predicted model, not a curated record
UACAAAUCCUUAUACUUCACCAGUGACUUUAAUUAUAUUACCUAAUAUCCACUAAGCACAUAGUAUGUGUUGCUUCUUUUUAGUAUCAGAUGAUAGUGAUGUUAGAAUCAUGAAACACUUGCAAUUUGGACAUUGUUAUACUGCAACUUAAUUCACAUAGUAUAUGCUGAAAAUAUUAGACUCAUUUUCUUCUAAGUUUCUGUUCUAAAUGAUAGUAAUUGAAGAUACUUUUUCGGGUAGAUGAGCUUAAAAACCUGUCUUCUGUACUAAGUGUGAUUGGCUUAGAAGGAAUUGCACAUUAGUUGCCAGUUCUGGAUUUAUUUGCCCUUUUGAUGUGGGACAAAGAUAGGUUGAGCACAAAGCUUUUAAAAGAUUAACCUGAUAAAACGAGAGAUGCCAGAUCCAAUAUCAACUCGGAUUGCUCAAUAAUUGUGACUAAACAAUCAUAGUGGUAUGAAGAGAAAAAUAAACUCUUGUUUUUCUAAAUGAAAAGUGAAGAGAAAAAUAAACUAAUCAAUUCAAAAACCUAUAAUCUGACAAUAGUUGAACAUUAUCCUAAAUAAGAAAAAAAAAACUAUAACAAUAAUUAGCUGAUACUUAUUUCAAAGAAAUAAUAAGUUGAUACUUAAUAUUCUAACUAAAGUAAUUAGCCUUAGUAAUAUAUAAGUCAUAGUUACAUAAAUAUUUCUUAAAAUAUUAGUGGACUUAAAUCUAGGGUCUGCAUUACUGCACAUCUUCCCAGUGCCAUAAAUACUUAUUGCUGUUUUUGUUCCAUCAUAUCUAACAUUUAAUAUUGAAAUUAAACGAUAUUUCUCCUUUCUGUUAUUUUUAGUUGGUCCCCAUAUUUCUUCCUGUUAAUGUAUUUAUAUUACUUUAAUUAUUCAUAGAAAUGCAAUGUUCUUACUGGCCUUGUAAAUGGAUUUUCCUGGCAGUGGGAAGAUGCUCCCAACCUUGGUAAUACUCACCUGCCGUACAGAUAUUGAAAUAGAGAUUCUUCUGGUUGGACAGCUCUACUGGACUGAAAGUUUUGAUCCAAGUGCAACGGCAGCUUGUAUUUUUCGGAUGUAGUACCUAGCUAGUUGCUGAGGUUACUUGUUUGCAGAUUCAACGUGAACUGUAAAUAUAUGGAUUUGUUGUCUUUGCUUCUCCUUUUCUCCGAGAAAUGUCCUUUUUGCUUCUCUAGUUACUAAUUAUGAGAUUCAUUAGUAUUUUCCUUGAUCUAUCUCCCUCCGUUUAAUUAUUUGAUGUUGCAUAUGCUUGACAUGCAGGAUAAAACAAAAACAUAGAGAAACCUUAACUUUUGUAA